AAAAAUUUAAUUUAAAAUAUUUAAGUAGUAUUAGUUAAGAUCUUUAAAUUUAAAAAAUUUGGCGGUAUUUUAGUCUAUUCAGAGGAACCUGUUUUUUAAUCGAUAAUCCACGAUGGAUCUUACUUAAAUUUAUUUUAGUUUAUAUAUCGUCGUUAAAAGAAUAUUUUAUAAGAAUAAUAAUUUUCUUAAUUUUUAAUUUUAAAAUAUAUCAGAUCAAGAUGUAGCAUAUGUUUAAGUUUAUAAUGGGUUACAUUUAUUGUAAUAUUGGAAAUUAAUAUGAAAUUUGUUAUUUGAAAUUGGAUUUGAUAGUAAAUUUAUAUAGAUUAGUGAAUUGAUUAUAGCUCUAAAAUAUG
RNAcentral lists this ribosomal RNA (353 nucleotides) under Eudorylas blascoi. RNAcentral describes it as "partial 12S ribosomal RNA". The record is from RNAcentral. Lineage: Eukaryota; Metazoa; Arthropoda; Insecta; Diptera; Pipunculidae.